AUCAUCUAGUUGUGUCAUUGUCAAUGGAUUACAAUGAAAACACAUAUAUUAGAUUAUGCAUAUCAGUAUCACACAUGAUUCGUCUGAGACUUCUAAGAAGAGAGAGGGUAUGAUUAACAAUUUUACAAUUGCAGUUCGCUUAUAGUAUAAAAAAAAGUAGACUAAGUCAAAGCUCAUCACAAAUUUCCUAUUCUGUAACGAGAGUUGUCCAAAUUAAAAUGAGGACAAGCUGAAAGAGCAUACAGAUUCAAAGUUAGCGGCUUUGAAUAUAAACAAAAGAUAUGUCUAGGCCCCAUCCGGCUGCAGGAAAGGGUUGGCAAUUUCAUCUGUACCAUCAGUUGGUGAGACAAGCAUCACAGCAGUUCCCCUGCAUACUAUUAGGCCAAGACGCCUGGUCUGAUCAGUAGUCUUCAGAGGAUCAUCAGGAUCUCUCAGGUAUUCUAUAGCUUCAUCCAGGACAAGAUU
This 465-nucleotide unclassified non-coding RNA is filed under the name Hevea brasiliensis (rubber tree). The record is from RNAcentral. Lineage: Eukaryota; Viridiplantae; Streptophyta; Magnoliopsida; Malpighiales; Euphorbiaceae.